CUCAUGGAGAGUUAGAUCCUGGCGCAGGAUGAACGCUGGCGGCAUGCUUAACACAUGCAAGUGGGAUGGGAAACACGGGAGAUGGUGUUUUCAGUGGCGGACGGGUGAGUAACGCAUGAGAACCUGCCCUUGGGCGGGCAACAACAGCUGGAAACGGCUGCUAAUACCCAUUAGGCUGAGGAGCAAAAGGAGAAAUCCGCCUGAGGAGGGGCUCGUAUGUUAUUGGCUAGUUGGUGAUGCAAUAGCUUACCAAUGCGAUCAUCAGUAACUAGUCCAAGAGGAUGACCAGCCACACUAGGACUGAGACACGGCCAAGACUCCUACCGGAGGCAGCAGAGGAGAAUUUUUUCGCAAUGAGCUAAAUCCUGAUGGAGCAAUGACGCAUGGAGGUAAAAGGCCCACGGGCUGUGAACUUCUUUUCCCGGAGAAGAAGCAAUGACGGUAUCUGGGGAAUAACUAUCGACUAACUCUGUGCCAGCAACCGCAGCAAUACAGAUGAUGCAAGCGUUAUCCGGAAUAAUUGGGCGUAAAGCGUCUGUAGGUGGCUUUUUAAGUCCGCCGUCAAAUCCCAGGGCUCAACCCUACAUAGGCGGUUGAAACUACCAUGCUGGAGUACGGUAGGGGCAGAGGGAAUUUCCAGUGGAGCGAUGAAAUGUGUAGAGAUCGGAAAGAACACCAACGGCGAAAGCACUCUGAUGGGCCGACACUGACACUGAGAGAUGAAAGAUAGGGGAGCGAAUGGUAUUAGACACCCCAGUUGUCCUAGCCGUAAAUAAUGGAUAAUAGGCGCUUAGCGUAUUGACCCGUGCAGUGCUGUAGUUAACAUGUUAUGUAUCCGCCUGGGGAGUACGUUCGCAUGAAUGUAACUCAAAGGAAUUGAUGGGGGCCCGCACAAGCGGUGGAGCAUGUGGUUUAAUUCGAUGCAAAGCGAAGAACCUUACAAGGGCUUGACAUACCGCGAAUCCUCUUGAAAGAGAGGGGUGCCUUCGGGAACGCGGAGACAGGUUGUGCAUGGCUGUCGUCAGCUUGUGCCAUAAGGUGUUAGGUUAAGUCCCGUAAUGAGCGCAACCAUUGUUUUUAGUUGCCAUCCUUGAGUUUAGAACCCUUAACAGACUGCCGGAGGAAGGUGAGGAUGACGGCAAGUCAUCAUGUCUCUUAUGCCCUGGGCGACACACGUGCUACAAUUGCCAGGACAAAGGAUGGUGAUCCCGCGAUGGUGAGCUAACCCCAAAAACCCGUCCUUAGUUUUGAUUGCAGGCUGCAACUCGCGUGCAUGAAGCCGGAAUGACUAGUAAUCGCCGGUCAGAAAUAUGGAGGUGAAUUCAUCCCCGGGCCUUGUACACGCCGUCCGUCACACUAUGGGGGCUGGCCAUUCACGAAGUCGUUACCUUAACUGGAAGAAGGGGGAUGCCAAAGGCAGGGCUAGUGACUGGAUUGAAGUCGUAUCAAGGUAGCCAUACUGGAAGGUGCGGCUCGAUCACCUCCUGU
Non-coding RNA from Solanum lycopersicum (tomato), 1488 nucleotides. The record is from Rfam. NCBI's taxonomy places the organism in Eukaryota, Viridiplantae, Streptophyta, Magnoliopsida, Solanales, Solanaceae.